Molecule: non-coding RNA, 2098 nt
Organism: Paramuricea clavata
Lineage: Eukaryota; Metazoa; Cnidaria; Anthozoa; Malacalcyonacea; Plexauridae
Source: the annotation of a GenBank genome assembly
GCUAAAACUGUAAGAGUUGUGAAGUUGUGACGGAACUUGUCGACUGCCUUCGGAAACUGUCGUUGAUGGCAUGAGGCAAUGAUAUUAAAAAGCCAGUUGUCACAGAAAAGGUAUCUUACAACUAUUAAACGACUUUAAUACUGGAAGAUGCAUCACUCAGCAAAAUUACAGUUGGCAACGCUGGGAGAAAUACUCGAAUGAAUUUUUCACAGCAAACGGUAAGUUAAUUUUUGUUAUUUCAAUCGACAUUUUAUUUAUGUUUACAAUUUGUGAAUCUGUCAUUUCAUAUUAUAUUAUUAAAACAUUGUCAUUGCUAUCGUGUUGCUAUUCAUGUCUGCUCUGGACUCUGCUUCUGGUCAAGGAGAUUUUGAUCACGCUUCAUAUAAAGCUUUAUAUAGUGAGUUUAUAAUCCUGUUUAUAAUCAAACGUUCUUGCACAGAUCUUGAAUUUUAAUAUACCACAUUAUGUGGGUAAUAGUUGGCAUAGCCCAUUGUUGGCAUAUUUUACAACAAUACUACAACUGCCCUGUCCACUUGCAGCUAUAAAACUUUAACUACACUUAACACAGAAAACAGGCUGGACUAUUUUAUAUUAAUAUAGUCUAGUAGUUACUAGCGUGGAAGCUCAGUCUGUUUACAUACAGUUGAAGGAUCUUCUAGCUAGAUGGAAGUAAUUGAGUGAAAAUGUAUUAUUUUACAUUUAUUAGAUCUAUUAAACUAGGAGAUGCAACUGUAGGUGCAGUUUAUUUUUGGAUAUCUAGUCCAGAUGUAAAUAAUAUGUAUUAUUAUAUCUGAUCUAAGAUCAGCAGGGGCGUAGAGACAGGGGAGUGUGUGUGUGUGUGGGGGGGAGGGGGGCAAACUCCACAACUGUGAAACUCAGGUAAAGCUCAAAUACUUGUAAAUUUUUACAUUCUCAGGUAAACUUUGUGUAAAAGUCGUUAUUUUUGUAAAAUGAUGACCAUUUGACAUCCGACACCCCCCCAAACUUCAGAUGCUUUGCUACGUCCCUGAAAAUUAGUGCAAUCACAAUAAAACACUGACCGUUGCAGUUGCGAGAGUAUAUAUGAAGAAAACCCACAGUCAUAAUGUGAUGAGGUCGACAAGUUUCAACAUUUCUUUUCAGCACUUAAUAACAGCAGUGUCAAUUGAGUAGCAUGUUCAUACUUUUAUUGCCACAGUUAAAUGUGUUGUUUAACCUAAUGAGCUGCAAUGCACCCCAGGCCCCCAGUGCACCCUACUUAUUUCUUUUACUUGUCUAAUGCCAGACGAUUUUACCCGUCAAUGGGGAAGCUCUGCCGCUUAAUGGGUUAAAUUUAUACUUGCAUCAUUUACAAUGUAUCAGUCUUGUGAGCUGCCAGUAAAUAUUUGGUUCUUAAUUUUAAACAAUUUGCAGAUAAAAGCACAAUUCAAAAUCAUAGUGAUGAUGCAUGGCAUCUACAGUACUUCAAACAACUAAGUGAACACAUAUUCUGGUCAAUUUGCUGAUAAUAUGGUGACUAGUGAUAAUAUUGGAUAAUAUAGGAAGAUCAGAAUAUUUGCACAAGUGUCAGGGCAAUACAAGUUAGUGGUGAUGACAAAAUUGAUUUGAUGAGUUCAUUAUAAAUUCCGAUGCUGUUAGAUCUUACAAUAAAUAAAAAUGUUUAGAAAUCUAGUAUUAAAUAUAUUAUGUUAAUGAAGAACUUUGAAUUUAAAGGUUUUAUGAAAUCUGCGAUGCUAGCAAUUCAAGAAAGCUAAUAACUUGUAAACCAGACAACAGAAUAUAUCUGUAACAAGAAACCGAUGUAAUGAAAUCUUAGUGAAUUACAUAUUAGUGCAGUUUUGAAAAACAAUAAAAUUGACAUUAUUAGUUGCUGCAUGUAUAUACUUAUUAUUGAAGCAAAACCGAAUGUUGCUUUUAAAUCAAGUGAUUGUAGCCAUUUGUUGGCAUUGUAAGAAAGAUGCUGCAUCUGUUUUAUUUUGACCAUUCUUCUAUAAUUGUAAUGAUUAAUUUUGUAUCAAAAUGAAUGUUUGUGAUGAAUGUUCAUUAAUGUGAAUUCCGGCUGUAUUCGACCAGGCUGAAUAGGCUAGCCACAUGUACGCAGUGCGUACCUAUUUUUAUA